Molecule: long non-coding RNA, 398 nt
Organism: Suricata suricatta (meerkat)
Lineage: Eukaryota; Metazoa; Chordata; Mammalia; Carnivora; Herpestidae
Exons: 3
Source: RefSeq, a predicted model, not a curated record
GCAAAAACUCAUGAUAUGACCCCCUCUUACUGCAAGGAGACUGGGACAUGUCUUCUAGCCUUAUGCCUAGAAAGAAGCACGGAUAUGGAUAAGACUCUACACAAAGAUUGGACCACAUGGAAGCUUGGGAUUUUUCUUGGGUUACAUGAGCAAAGUGACUCCAUUUUUUAACCUCUGAGCUGAUCAGAGGAAUCCACGUUAUAUGCAGAAGAGAAUUAUAGUAGGCAUACUUCACAAGGUAGAAAAUUCUACUCGGACACACACGAAGACCAUACGAAGAUGCGGAGAGAUGUUCACCUACAAGCCAGGAAGAAAGACGUUGGAACAAACUAACCCUGCUGACACUCUGAUCUUGGAUGUUUAGCUUUCAGAAUCACGACAGAACAAAUUUCUGUUCU